RNAcentral lists this ribosomal RNA (432 nucleotides) under uncultured bacterium. RNAcentral describes it as "partial 16S ribosomal RNA". It matches the Rfam family "Bacterial small subunit ribosomal RNA", at positions 29 to 506 of the family's 1533-position model. The record is from RNAcentral.
AACGAACGCUGGCGGCAUGCCUAACACAUGCAAGUCGAACGAGACCUUCGGGUCUAUUGGCGCACGGGUGCGUAACGCGGGGGAACCUGCCCUUAGGUUCGGAAUAGCUCCCCGAAAGGGGUGCUAAUACCGGAUAAGUUCUUCGGACCAAAGAGUUAUCGCCUUUGGAUGGGCCCGAGUUGUAUUCGCUUGUUGGUAGGGUAAAAGCCUACCAAGGCGACGAUCAGUAGCUGGUAUGAGAGGAUGAUCAGCCACACUGGGAGUGAGACACGGCGCAGACACUUACGGAAGGCAGCAGUGGGGAAGAUGGGACGCUGGGCGAAAGACUGAGGCAGCAAUGCCGCGUAAGUGAUGAAGGGGUUAGGGUUGUAAAGCUCUUUUACCCGGGAUGAUAAUGACAGUACCGGAGAAAUAAGCUCCGGCAACCUCCGG